Long non-coding RNA from Olea europaea var. sylvestris, 3764 nucleotides. RefSeq lists it as uncharacterized. The transcript has 2 exons. The record is from RefSeq and is a predicted model, not a curated record. NCBI's taxonomy places the organism in Eukaryota, Viridiplantae, Streptophyta, Magnoliopsida, Lamiales, Oleaceae.
CAAAAAUCAUGGGAGGUAAGGCCAUUCUUUUAGUGCCCAUUUUUCCCCUUUCUCCAUUCCUUCAUGCAAAAGACCACUCUUUCUCUCCCAUUGAAUCAAGCCCCAAAUAAAUCCAAGUAAAAUCCCGAAAAGGGGAGUGAAGUAAUUUUUACAGUACAAAAAGUCCCCCAGCGCCAAUAUCACCACUGUCUACAUGGUCAUCUUCGUCUCCACCACAGCUGUCAUCCUCCUCCUCCGUACCCUUCGAUACCAUCAUGGCCAACUCCCCGCUGCCAUUAGUCGCGGUAGCUAGCUCUGGAAUUCUUAAAGCUUAUCAUUAAUUCUCAUCCUCGUUAACUCCAUCAACCCUAGUCCCCCCUUUCUCUCACUUUUCGUUGUUCUCUAAUGGCUCAGAUUAAAACUUCCUUGACCCAGAUGAGUGAUGGAAUUUUGUUUUAUUUUUUACCAAUUUCUUAUGUUUUAUUCUGUUUACUGUUCUUGACUAAACCUACUAACGUGGUUAACUGGAUUUCAUCUGCGAUUUGGGUAUUUUUUGUUUUUCAACAUGAUCUUAAUCUUAAUAAAUUGGGUUUUGAUAAAGCUUCCAAAUGUGGUGUCAAAAAAUGUCGGAUUUAUAAUACUUGCUUUACCAAUAGUUGUUGUGAACACAAUAUUGCUCGAGAUGAUCAGGAACUCUGAACAAUUCAAUAGCGCUACGUGAGUGGGGUGUGGUGGUUCCAUUUUGGUGCUAGUGUAAGUUUGUUACGGUGAUCGGUAAAACGGUUUUGAUGAUAAUUAUAAAAUCCUAAGCCUGUUGAUACUUGUUUGAUUCUAAGCAUCACGUAUAAUGGUUUUCUAAAAUAUUAUGAAUCCUUGAAUCAUAGAUUUAACAAAAAAUUCUAUUUUAGUCACAAGUUAUAGGCAGCAUCAAUAAGGCUUUACAAGUUCUUAAUGUGAAAAAUUACAUUAUUUAUUUAGAUCUAUAUCUUAAUUUUCGAAAUGAAGAUUUGUUGUUGUGGUUUUUCAUGUCUCACUUAUCAGUUUGUGAUGAUUUUUGGUAGAAGAUGGUGGUGGCAAUAAUAAGACAGUGUAAGUUACAAUUUUAAAUAAAUUACACACUUUAUCAGAAUUUAAUAUCAUCACUUACCCAAAAAAAAAAAGUGAUUAUUCUUGCUGGGCUUUUUUUUUUUUUUAAUACUCGCCUGAAGGGAUGCAUAUAGAAAAAUCUUGUGCGAUUUUGGGUCCCUUUUAUCAAAUUGAAUUUUCAUUGAAUUUUGGUGGAUAAAUUUAUAAAUAUGUGGCAAUUUUUGGUGCAGCAAAUUCCUGUGACUGCGAAAAAUCAAUUUUCUGUGGUAAGUUAUAAAGAAGAUGAACUGUAUCUAAGCAGAUCCAAAAAUGGAAAACAAGGACAAGGCAGUGAUUAAGAAUGUUGUGGAGGGUUUUUUGCUUAUGGAAUUUUAAUGCUGUCUACUAGGUUAAGCCUUGAUGGUGUUUUACUUUUCAUCUUGAGAGUUGUCGUCUUUCAAUACGAAUCGUGUUCGAUCAUUUAUUUCUGGACUCUAAAGAUGAUCGUCACAUUACAAAAGGAUUAUGGAUGUUCGCUAUAUUUAUCAUUGGCUUAUGUGUUUAUGUUUUUCCACAUCAUGAUGCAAAGUUGGCUGUUAAAUUGUUACUCCUCUUGCUGCCGCAUAAAUUCUGUCCUCCCAUAGCCCAAUGAGUAGAUAAUCUUUGCCACCAGUAGAAACAAUCUUAGAAAUUUAGUUGUUUUUCUUGAAAUUCAAUGCAACGAUAAGAAAUUGAUCUUUCUACUUAUAUUGAAGCUCUUGUCUUUAAAUAUAUAAUAAAUAAUUUGAAGCUAAAAAAAAUCACGUCCUUGGUAUCCUUCCCAUUAUUGUGGUGAGUUUUGCAUCGGUUAAUGUCGGGUUUUGUUUGGUUUUUUAUGAUUUGAUUUGGUUAAAUAUAAAUUAUCUCAUGGUAGGAUUCGGCUGCUUAAUUUGAUGGGAUGCCUAGGAUGAAUUGAUAGUUUUUUCUUUCGUUUCAUGUGCUACAAAUAUCAAAUAAAUAAAUUGAUAUUUGGUGCAAAAAAGAAUAUAGAGAGUUUUAAUUGCUGCCAUUUUUUCAAAUUUAGAUGGGAAUUCCUUAAAUUUUGUUUGUGUGCCAAUAGUUUACUGCUUCUCUUAAGAAAAAGUUAGGAUUAAAUUGUUGUAAGAAUUUGUUAACUUCCAAUUAGAAAUUAAUUUCUAUUUUGUUAAUGAGAUUGCUUCUCUAUUAUAAUUCAAUAUUAUGUUUAUUUCUCACACAUAUUACAUGCUUGGGGGGACAUUCCUUGAUAAGUCAUCCAUUUGUUAGGACUCAUAGGAGGAAGAGUGCUUUGAAUUAGUUGCUACUUGUCUUCUUUCGGAUAGAGUAUACCCACAUCUAAGGUAUGGAGUUGUAUAUAUUUUACUCAACUCUUAAAUUUCAUGUAUGAAUUUGGCAGUCUAGGAAAUAACAAUGUAGAAAUGCAUGGUGUAUGGUGAUAACAUUAGUUCGUGGACCAUGUAAUUUUCAAUUGCUUUUUUAAAUUUUCGUAUGGUACUUCACUACUUCUUUAAACACUUUUUUGAUUGAACUUGGUCAGAAUCUUUAAAUUUUCAGACAUUUUUUCAACGGCAACUCACAUGUACAUUGGGAAACCGGGGAAUAAGAUUACAAAAAAUAAGUGAAACUCUAUAGGUUAAGGCUGAAAAAUCAUCUCCAAUCAUGGAACUCAACAUGUUAAAAGCCUAUAACGAUAAUGAAAGACAGUGCUCCCUUGUGAGUGCUUUAGCCCACUUGAAUGACCUGGAUAGUGGUUACUCCAAAGUCAUUAUCUAGAAAGGUUAAUUUCCCACAUGCCUAAUAUGUUUUAAAUAUAUUUUGCUUGGUCAAAUACUCUUAAGUUGUGCUUCCCUUUAAAAUGGGUUUAAAGCACUAUUACUCAAUCAACUGAUAGCAAAGUUUCGUGUUAGUCAUGGAAGCUUAUUUUAUUCCAAAAUAAUUACUUAAGUUUGUUUUUAGUUUUUAGGAAAGUCACUUAUCUAAAAUACAUCACUUUUUCUCUGCAAUUUUUAUUUUCAUUUGAAUUUCUUUCUUAGUUAGAUUGACACUACCUAUGGGUGUUUUAUUGAAUUCUUCAUUGUCUCAUUUUGAUCAGAAACUAUAGAAGAGAUUUUGUGAGGCAGUCAUAACAGAAAUCAAACUUCAUGCAGAAGAUUGGAAUCGUUGCAGAAAUAUGAGCUCCAUCAGAUGAGAUAUGGUGGCCUUACAUAUAUAGAAAGGCGGGUAGGCUAUAGCACAACAUUGCACUGUCGAACAAAGCAAACAGCUACAAAACGUGCAACGGAUAAAGUGCAGGCCUACAUACAGUCAGGGGCAGCGCAUGGAUGAACCUGUGUAUUAUUCGUUACUAUGUCAUAUUUCCGUCCACUGAUGAAUUUUAUGUAACGUUAUUUCUUGAAAAUUGAGCAGACUAUCGUUAAAGCUUUUAGCCAAACUCCAUUAUGAGACAUCGGGCCAUUGGAUACUGUUUGAAAAAAUUGUACUUUUGCACCCGCCUAACAUGUUGGCAAUAUUAUCCAUGUGCUUUAAGUUGGUCUACUAUUUCUUAAGGAAGCCAAUAGUUACGACUUGUGCAACGGAGCUUAGCUUGCAUUAAAUUUGUUUUCAUGGUGCAGGGGCUACGUCCUAAAGUACAAAUACUUAUUGCACAUGAAUGUAUAAUGUUUCUGAUUGUUGGAAAUUCGAUGAAAAACUUGAACGAUUUA